GGAUAGCAAUACCGUGGAUGGCGACCGGCAAACGGGAUGCGGAACACGUACGCAACCCUUCCUUCAAGCGGGGAAUAGCCCAGAGAAAUUUGGAUUAAUACCCCAUAGGAAUGUAGUCUCGCAUGAGACAGCAUUUAAAGAUUUAUCACUUGAAGAUGGGCGUGCGUCUGAUUAGGUAGUUGGUGAGGUAACGGCUCACCAAGCCGACGAUCAGUAACUGGCGUGAGAGCGCGACCAGUCACACGGGCACUGAGACACGGGCCCGACUCCUACGGGAGGCAGCAGUAAGGAAUAUUGGUCAAUGGACGCAAGUCUGAACCAGCCAUGCCGCGUGGAGGAUGAAGGCCCUCUGGGUUGUAAACUUCUUUUAUUUGGGACGAAACACUUUCUUUCUAGAGAGCUUGACGGUACCAGAUGAAUAAGCACCGGCUAACUCCGUGCCAGCAGCCGCGGUAAUACGGAGGGUGCAAGCGUUAUCCGGAUUCACUGGGUUUAAAGGGUGCGUAGGCGGACUUGUAAGUCCGUGGUGAAAUCUCCGAGCUUAACUCGGAAACUGCCAUGGAUACUAUAAGUCUUGAAUGUUGUGGAGGUUAGCGGAAUAGUUCAUGUAGCGGUGAAAUGCUUAGAUAUGACCUAGAACACCAAUUGCGAAGGCAGCUGGCUACACAAUAAUUGACGCUGAGGCACGAAAGCGUGGGGAUCAAACAGGAUUAGAUACCCUGGUAGUCCACGCCCUAAACGAUGAUUACUCGACAUUUGCGAUAUACAGUAAGUGUCUGAGCGAAAGCAUUAAGUAAUCCACCUGGGAAGUACGACCGCA
This 820-nucleotide ribosomal RNA is filed under the name Chitinophaga sp. VC-YC6680. RNAcentral's name for it is "bacterial SSU rRNA". It matches the Rfam family "Bacterial small subunit ribosomal RNA", at positions 74 to 890 of the family's 1533-position model. The record is from RNAcentral. Lineage: Bacteria; Pseudomonadati; Bacteroidota; Chitinophagia; Chitinophagales; Chitinophagaceae.